Molecule: long non-coding RNA, 3859 nt
Organism: Anolis carolinensis (green anole)
Lineage: Eukaryota; Metazoa; Chordata; Lepidosauria; Squamata; Anolidae
Exons: 2
Source: RefSeq, a predicted model, not a curated record
CCCACGUUGCGGCGGAGUUCUCGUGUUUGUAGUAACAAGCUGCCCAAAGUGAACAAUUUUAGUGUUUAGAGAUUGUGUAUUUUUUUAAUUGUAUUUUGGAAGGCAGAAUUGUAGAGCUGAAAAGGACUGGCCUCUUCCAUAGAUCUGAAUAAAAUCCCACAUUAUCUGCUUUGAACUCGAAUAUAUGGCAGUGUGGACUCAGAUAACCCAGUUCAAAGCAGAUAUUGUGGGAUUUUCUGCCUUGAUAUUCUGGGUGAUAUGGCAUCAAACUAAAAUACUCCUGAGAGAUGAAGUGAAAACUGGAAGUGGUGCAAUGUGGUUUUUAAAUAACAAUAACAGAGUCGGAAGAGACCACAUGGGCCAUCUAGUCCAGCCCCCUGCCAUGCAGGAAAAUCACAAAGAAGCCCAGGAAGAUCUGUUUAAAAGCUUCCAAGGAUGGAGCUUCCACCACACUCCAAGGCAGAGAGUUCCACUGUUGAACAGCUCUCACAGCCAGGAAGUUCUUCCUAACGUUCAGGUGGAAUCUCCUUUCCUGUAAUUUAAACCCAUUGCUCAGAGUCCUCAGGCCCUUCCACACAGCCACAUAACCCAGAAUAUCAAGGCAGAAAAUACCACAAUAUCUGCUUUGAACUGGUCCACAUUGCCAUAUAUUCCAGUUCAAAGCAGAAAAUGUGGAAUUUUAUUCACCUGUGUGGAAGGGGCCCUAGUUUCCAGGGCAGCAGAAAACAAUACAGCUCCCUCUUCCUUAUGCGGUCCAUUGACAUAUUUAUAUAUGGCUAUCAUGUCUCCUCUCAACCUUCGUGCCAGCAGGCUAAACAUCCCAAGCUCUUUAAGACGAUCCUCAUAGGGAUUCAUGGUCUCCAGGCCUUUGAUCAUUCCGAGUUGCCCUCCUCUGGACAAAUUCCAGCUUUUCGAUAUCUCUUUUGAAUUAUGGUUUCCAGAAUUGGACACAGUAUUCCAGGGAGAUCAAACUGGCUCCCCAUCUUCUGGCAGACAUUCGUAAGUUGUUCGGGUUUUUGUUCUUUCCUUAAAUGUAUAUCAAAACAAAACCAGAACAGUUUUACAGUAGUUUUUAUUUAUUUAUUUAUUUAUUUAUAUAUAUAACACCUUCUAAAUCAUUUUAGAUAAAUUGCAGUUUUGAAUUUUUACCUUGGACUUUUUAAAAUUGCUUUGUUUCACCUUGAGUCAGUUCUGUAAAAAUGGCAGGAUAUAACUGAAUAAAACAUGCCUGGAAGGUUCAGGACCUGCUUAUCUCUGCGAUCGCCUCCUCCCCUAUGAACCCACAUGGGCCUUGAGAUCCUCCGGGGAGGCCCUUCUCUUGUUCCCCGCCUUCAUCUCAGGUGUGGUUGGUGGGGACGAGGGAGAGGGCCUUCUCGGCUGUGGCCCCUCAGCUCUGGAACUCCCUCCCCAGGGAGAUCAGACUGGCACUUUCCCUGUCCACCUUUCAUAGGACCUUAAAACAUGGCUGUAUCGAUGCACCUUCGAAUGAAUUGUUCUAGUUAGAUAUUAACUUGUCACAAUUAUUGCAUUUUAUCAAUAUCCCUCACCCUUGUUGAUUUUAAUCUUGUAAUCUUCCCUGAUUACCCUAUAUUAUUAUCCUCGAGUCUCACGUAGAAUCUGCACAAGCUCACCCUUACAUAUUUGUACUAUGCUCUAGGUUUGAAGAAAUGGAUAUGUUUAUGCUGUUUUAUGCUGUGUAAUGUUGUUUUUAUUGUUUUAUGUUGUUUUAAAUUAUAAAUUACGACUCUGUUUUAAUGUAUGAUGAUGCUGGGCUUGUCCCCAUGUGAGCUGCCCCGACUCCCUUCGGGGAGAUGGGAGCAGGAUAUAAAAAUAAAGUCAUUAUUAUAUUAUUAUUAUUUAACUGAAAAUGAACAUUUUUUCAAUCAAGUUUCAUGUUGUGGUGUUUUAAAAACCCAAUACUGUCUUUAUCCCUUUUCAUUGUUGGUAGAAAUGUAUUUUACAUUAUCAGUGAGUUAAUUCCUUGAUUUAAUUUGUCUUCUAGGACUUUUGCUCAGAUAAUACUUAUUUGAACUCUUAACUUGCUGGUACAAUUUGCUUUAUGGAAAGUUCUUAAGUGUCAUUAAUUCUUCAAAUGAAGCCAUUGGUUUGAAAUGUAUUUCUAUACAUUACUGACUGGGUGGGACAUCAAAUAAAGCAAUACACUACCAUUCAGAUGUUUGUGUGAAAUGGUCAAAAAUAGAUUAUUAUUAUUAUAUUUAUACCCCACUUUAUCUCUCCCACACGAGACUUAAAGUGGCUUAAUAUAAAAAUAGGCUUGUUAUUAAUUUCUACAACAUGUAGGACCCUUGUUACAAUGAACACCAACACCUCAGAAGUAACGCAGUCACUUUUCAUUUCCCAGUUAUCUUAUUUUCUAAAUAAAAUGAAAAAAAAAAGAUUUAUCUACAAAGAUUCCAAGUUGGUAGAAAAUAAAAAAUUUAAAAAUAGAGAAGACCUCAAAGGUCUCAAAAAGAACACGUUCCUUAUUUUUAUUGGUCAUGUAUGCAUUACAUUUGAAAUAUAAAAAAGUGUUCCAAAAGUUUUCCUAAUACAGACCCUCUUAUCACCCUCCACCUUGAUAUUUAGUUUAACAAGCCUUAUUCCAUAAACAAGACAUGGGGCAUUCCAACCUGUUCUCCUAUCAACAGUUUUGCUUCCAACUCACCAAAAUACACAUAAGCUUUAAUAAGAAACCACAUCCUAAGAAACUUAGCUCACCUGAACCUAUUCGUUGUAAUAAAUACUAAGCAGCAUCUACUCCACCAAAGGAUUAUUUUAAGGAAGCAAAAAAUAAUAAUCCUCAUUAGCUGUGGAGGGACAUAAACUAAGGGGAGUGGUAAAUGUUAUACAAAAUAUUUGAACAGCAUUAUUCUCCACUCAUUAAAGUGCUGAAAACUGGAUUUUUCUCUUUUCUAACUCUUGUUUUGGUUAGGCAUUCCUUUUUUACUUCAACCAAUUUCAAUUUUUUUUCAGUAGGAAUAGUGACAAUUGAAAUGUUAUUUUUAUUUUAAGAACACUAAUAGACAAUGGCAUGUACACAGACCAUCUGGUAUAAUUCAUAAGCCUUCCAAAAUCUUUAAAGAUGCAUUUAAAAAGCUGCAGAGUUCUUUGGGAAAAAUCAUUUUUCUUGCUAGCUCUACAUGUGAAACAGCAGUUCUAGAGCUUCAGUGUUGCAAUUGAGCUGCUCUAGGUGAUCACAGAGGUUUCAUUCCACUAAGUCUCAUUUUCAGCCAACUGAGGCUGCAAUCCUAUCAUCAAUUGCCUGUAAGUCCAAAAUGCAAUUAGAUUUACUUUUGAGUUUGAUGUAUACAAGAUUAUAAUGUAACUCUAUGGAAAAGGGGUGAUUCAAGUGAUACUGUAACAUUAAACGAAAUUUCAGUUCACUUUCUGCCAACUAGCAAAAGAAAGAGACAAUGGGCUGUUUGUAUCCUAACAUGCAAUACUAAACAUGAGUAAUAGAUCAGUUUAUAAAAUUUAAAAAUACAUAUCACACAUUCACAGACAUAUCAGUUAUAAGUAGGGCCUUGCGUAAAGAUAAUGAAGCGUCAUCGGCUGGCACGGAUGCCUCUAAAAUCUGCUCUAGAGCUAGACAGCUUCAUUCCUAGGUAGAAUUAUUAUGUUUCCAUUCCAGUCAAACAUACAGGUGAUGAAAAUUACCAAGUAUGUGUUUACACAUCUUUAACUGGAAUUUCGUUAAUCAAAACAACUAUGCAGUUUCUCUUUUGGAACAGAUUACUUCCUGGCUUGAUUCCUCAGUAUCUUCUGAAAAAUGCUUGGUUUUGGGACACUUCUGUUAGCAAAGUUCUUAGCAGAUGCUGCUGCUGGACAUGCUCAGUUCAUUGUCAUGGAUACAAAAUAA